GGAAUAUUGGUCAAUGGAGGCAACUCUGAACCAGCCACGCCGCGUGUAGGAAGAAUGUCCUAUGGAUUGUAAACUACUUUUAUACAGGAAUAACCCCCUCUACGUGUAGAGGGCUGAAGGUACUGUACGAAUAAGCACCGGCUAACUCCGUGCCAGCAGCCGCGGUAAUACGGAGGGUGCAAGCGUUAUCCGGAUUCAUUGGGUUUAAAGGGUGCGUAGGCGGAGACUUAAGUCAGUGGUGAAAUCUCGAGGCUCAACCUCGAAACUGCCAUUGAUACUGAGUCCCUAGAGUAUAGAUGAAGUGGGCGGAAUACGGCAUGUAGCGGUGAAAUGCAUAGAUAUGCCGUAGAACACCGAUUGCGAAGGCAGCUCACUAAACUAGUACUGACGCUGAGGCACGAAAGCGUGGGGAGCG
Molecule: ribosomal RNA, 415 nt
Filed under: uncultured bacterium
Lineage: Bacteria
Description: bacterial SSU rRNA
Rfam family: Bacterial small subunit ribosomal RNA
Source: RNAcentral